UGCAUUGUGUGAGCCGGAAUC
This 21-nucleotide non-coding RNA is filed under the name Caenorhabditis elegans. Lineage: Eukaryota; Metazoa; Nematoda; Chromadorea; Rhabditida; Rhabditidae. The record is from RNAcentral.